CUCACGGGCGCUUCCGAGAAUCUCCAUACCCCGCUAGUCUACAACUCAACGACAAUACCCGCUUCCUACAAGUGAAGCACCAAGUCAACUGGCGGGGCAAAUAAAAAGACGAUCAUGGGAAAAUCUUGCUUUUGUUGCUUUUGUCUGCUGCCGGAGGCGUGUUGAUCACAUUGCAUGACCAUCGAUAUCUGGCAACUUCAUUCAGCAGUUGCAUGUGGCAAUUUUUGAUGAAUACUACGCAAUAAGUACGAGUUAAGAAUCAAAAGACGCCUCAGGAAAUUUGCUGCCGAAACUUUUCCACGCCAAUCAAGAAAACGAGAGGAUCAAAGCCUGUUGCCAUGGUUUCAGGAGGAAAUAAAGGCGAAGAAAAUUUUCACAACCUUGUCGAUCAACGAAAAAAAGGCCAGUCACAUGACCUAAUAUACUCAAGGUUCUCCUUCCAUUUAUUUCAGAAUGAUUCCGUGGUUGUUCGAGAAUUCCUUGUACCUUACGAGGUCCAAUGAGGCUUAAAGCAGUUCGGUACGCUUGUGCGCAGCCGCGGACCAAUUUCCGAGAGCGAGAGACGCCUUUGCACACAACACUCAGCCAAUAAUUGGACGGAGUUUUUCUCACUGGACAAAAAUGCCUUGAUUUCUUGACAGGGGGGGGGGGGAAGCAUUAGUUGUUGGAAACCAGUUUCAUGCGCCUAGUUACUAACCCCUUUCAAAGUGUUAUAUAAAUCAACCAUCAGGUACUUAAGUUAAAAGAGCGGCCUGCGAGCACACCCAGAACAACAGACAAUUUGCCAUCGUUCCUUGACGGUCUUCCACCACAAGGAGGAAUCGCAGAAAAAGCAGAAGAAAGCGAAAGAAAAAUCAAAAGGGACAGUUCAUUCCCCCAAAGGAAAGGAUCCGCGCAACUUUUUUUUUCCUCCCUUUUUUUUUUUUUUUUACCGCUAUCGAUGAGGAACUCAGGUAAUGUUUUGCAAAAAUAAGUUUUUUGUACGGGAAAGGACGUUACACAUAAGGAUACAGGCUUGAACGAAAGGUUCCAAAUCUACAUUCAUGUGCAUCCCACGUUACUGAGACCAGACGAUGGAAACAUCAUCUCCAAGUUCCCACUGUUUCUGUGCCUCUCGUAAUGAGGUUUUUUUUUUUUUUUUAAAAAAAAAAAAAAACCUUUCGCCGAAUCGCUUUUCACACGGAUAACAUCAAACUGAAUUCGC
Molecule: small RNA, 1204 nt
Filed under: Histoplasma capsulatum
Lineage: Eukaryota; Fungi; Ascomycota; Eurotiomycetes; Onygenales; Ajellomycetaceae
Description: hypothetical RNA
Source: RNAcentral